UGCGUGACCAACCUGCCCCAUGCUCCAGAAUAGCUCUUGGAAACGGGUGGUAAUGCUGGAUGCUCCAACUUGACGCAUGUCUUGUUGGGAAAGUGUUUAGUGGCAUGGGAUGGGGUCGCGUCCUAUCAGCUUGUAGGCGGGGUAAUGGCCCACCUAGGCUUCGACGGGUAGCCGGCCUGAGAGGGCGGACGGCCACAUUGGGACUGAGAUACGGCCCAGACUCCUACGGGAGGCAGCAGUU
This 241-nucleotide ribosomal RNA is filed under the name uncultured Gardnerella sp. RNAcentral describes it as "partial 16S ribosomal RNA". It matches the Rfam family "Bacterial small subunit ribosomal RNA", at positions 114 to 355 of the family's 1533-position model. The record is from RNAcentral. Lineage: Bacteria; Bacillati; Actinomycetota; Actinomycetes; Bifidobacteriales; Bifidobacteriaceae.